GGUAGCGUGGCCGAGUUGGUCUAAGGCGUUGGAUUUAAGUCCCUUCUGAAUCCCAAUGGGCGUAAGCCCGCGCGAGUUCGAACCUCGCCGCUACCA
RNAcentral lists this transfer RNA (96 nucleotides) under Leucogyrophana mollusca. RNAcentral describes it as "tRNA-Leu". It matches the Rfam family "tRNA". Rfam says of the family: Transfer RNA (tRNA) molecules are approximately 80 nucleotides in length. Their secondary structure includes four short double-helical elements and three loops (D, anti-codon, and T loops). Further hydrogen bonds mediate the characteristic L-shaped molecular structure. tRNAs have two regions of fundamental functional importance: the anti-codon, which is responsible for specific mRNA codon recognition, and the 3' end, to which the tRNAs corresponding amino acid is attached (by aminoacyl-tRNA synthetases). tRNAs cope with the degeneracy of the genetic code in two manners: having more than one tRNA (with a specific anti-codon) for a particular amino acid; and 'wobble' base-pairing, i.e. permitting non-standard base-pairing at the 3rd anti-codon position. Lineage: Eukaryota; Fungi; Basidiomycota; Agaricomycetes; Boletales. The record is from RNAcentral.